RNAcentral lists this ribosomal RNA (253 nucleotides) under uncultured bacterium. Its description in RNAcentral is "partial 16S ribosomal RNA". It matches the Rfam family "Bacterial small subunit ribosomal RNA", at positions 524 to 776 of the family's 1533-position model. The record is from RNAcentral.
UACAGAGGGUGCAAGCGUUAAUCGGAAUUACUGGGCGUAAAGCGUGCGUAGACGGUUAUGUAAGUCGGGUGUGAAAGCCCCCGGCUCAACUGGGGAAUUGCACGGGAAACUGCGGGGCUUGAGUUCGGGAGAGGGAAGCGGAAUUCCGGGUGUAGCGGUGAAAUGCGUAGAUAUCCGGAGGAACACCAGUGGCGAAGGCGGCUUCCUGGACCGACACUGACGCUGAGGCGCGAAAGCUAGGGGAGCAAACGGG